This 444-nucleotide long non-coding RNA is filed under the name Arachis ipaensis. RNAcentral's name for it is "long non-coding RNA (AIPA_LNC002415)". The record is from RNAcentral. Lineage: Eukaryota; Viridiplantae; Streptophyta; Magnoliopsida; Fabales; Fabaceae.
UUAGGAGCCAUCAGCAAUUAAAAACAGGACCCACAACACAAUGAUUAACCAUGUUCUUAACCUAAAGCAGGAGCCAUCAGCAAUUAAAAAUAGGACCAAAACAGAGUAACAUUUACAAUUUUCCAGCAUAUUAGGUGUUCUGGACCAAAACAGAGUAACAGUUAGAAUUACAAAAUAGCAAAACACUAAAACAGCAAUAUUAGCCUAUUAGGUGUUCUGGAUACAAAUCACAUAACAGAGACAGUUUCUAGCAUUAUCAACCAACCCAAACAUACAUACAUGGAAGACCAUAGAUACAAGGAAUUGAAGAACAAAGAACGAAUUUCCACAGCAAUCAAAACCAUACAUACAAGGAAGACCGAAGAACAAAGAACGAAGAAUGAAGACUGAAGUCCGAAGAACGAAGACUGAAGACCGAAGAAGAAGAAGAACCAAACUUCAAGC